Molecule: ribosomal RNA, 540 nt
Filed under: uncultured Geobacteraceae bacterium
Lineage: Bacteria; Pseudomonadati; Thermodesulfobacteriota; Desulfuromonadia; Geobacterales; Geobacteraceae
Description: bacterial SSU rRNA
Rfam family: Bacterial small subunit ribosomal RNA
Source: RNAcentral
GAGUUUGAUCCUGGCUCAGAACGAACGCUGGCGGCGUGCCUAACACAUGCAAGUCGAACGUGAUCCGGAGCUUGCUCUGGUGAAAGUGGCGCACGGGUGAGUAACGCGUGGAUAACCUACCCUGGUAUCCGGGAUAACAUUCCGAAAGGGGUGCUAAUACCGGAUAAGCCCACGGGCUCUUUGGAGCUUGCGGGAAAAGGUGGCCUCUAUUUAUAAGCUACUGUAUCAGGAUGGGUCCGCGUACCAUUAGCUAGUUGGCGGUGUAACGGACCACCAAGGCGACGAUGGUUAGCUGGUCUGAGAGGAUGAUCAGCCACACUGGAACUGAGACACGGUCCAGACUCCUACGGGAGGCAGCAGUGGGGAAUUUUGCGCAAUGGGGGAAACCCUGACGCAGCAACGCCGCGUGAGUGAUGAAGGCCUUUGGGUCGUAAAGCUCUGUCAGAGGGGAAGAAAUGAUAUAGUGCUAAUACCACUUUAUCCUGACGGUACCCUCAAAGGAAGCACCGGCUAACUCCGUGCCAGCAGCCGCGGUAAUAC